Molecule: long non-coding RNA, 488 nt
Organism: Carassius gibelio (silver crucian carp)
Lineage: Eukaryota; Metazoa; Chordata; Actinopteri; Cypriniformes; Cyprinidae
Exons: 3
Source: RefSeq, a predicted model, not a curated record
CUAUUUUAACCCAGCGGGGGUGGGUUGAGGACGCGGACGUGAAGGAGAGCACGCACGUCACGUCAAAAUCGUACGUCUCCAGUGCGAGCAGCCGCCAUUUUCUCAGCGUGAUAGAAGCGAGAAGCGAGUGAAAGACUAUGACGUGUCAAGCUCGUGUCUUCAUUGUCCUCGCGCUGAGAGUUAAAGACACAGAAGCUGUUUGUGUGAGGAGUCACAGACCUGUGUGAGGAUGAGGAGGAGGUGUUCUUCUGAAGAGAGGGACAGACGGUUUAAGGAGAGUAAACUUCAGAAUAACAUCAAGUUAUCUUUAUUUUUACUAAGACUAAAAUAAUGUGUGUUUUUUUUAGAUGUUGAAAUCCAGAGACAAGAUAACUUCAUUCUUUUGAGACUGAUAACUCAAACUAACUGGAGUUAAGGACACACAAGUCUGCCUGUGUGAGGAGGUGGUUUUCUCAGCUUCUUCUGAAGAGAGGGAAAGAUCGUUUAAG